Molecule: ribosomal RNA, 252 nt
Filed under: uncultured bacterium
Lineage: Bacteria
Description: partial 16S ribosomal RNA
Rfam family: Bacterial small subunit ribosomal RNA
Source: RNAcentral
GACAGAGGGUGCAAACGUUGCUCGGAAUACUGGGCGUAAAGCGCGUGUAGGUGGAUUGGUGUGUCAGAUGUGAAAUCCCUGGGCUCAACCCAGGAACUGCACCUGAAACUACCAGUCUUGAGUGGUGGAGAGGGAAGUGGAAUUCCUGGUGUAGAGGUGAAAUUCGUAGAUAUCAGGAGGAACACCAGUGGCGAAGGCGGCUUCCUGGACACCAACUGACGCUGAGACGCGAAAGCGUGGGGAGCAAACGGG